GAUGAACGCUGGCGGCGUGCCUAAUACAUGCAAGUCGAGCGAACGGACGAGAAGCUUGCUUCUCUGAUGUUAGCGGCGGACGGGUGAGUAACACGUGGAUAACCUACCUAUAAGACUGGGAUAACUUCGGGAAACCGGAGCUAAUACCGGAUAAUAUUUUGAACCGCAUGGUUCAAAAGUGAAAGACGGUCUUGCUGUCACUUAUAGAUGGAUCCGCGCUGCAUUAGCUAGUUGGUAAGGUAACGGCUUACCAAGGCAACGAUGCAUAGCCGACCUGAGAGGGUGAUCGGCCACACUGGAACUGAGACACGGUCCAGACUCCUACGGGAGGCAGCAGUAGGGAAUCUUCCGCAAUGGGCGAAAGCCUGACGGAGCAACGCCGCGUGAGUGAUGAAGGUCUUCGGAUCGUAAAACUCUGUUAUUAGGGAAGAACAUAUGUGUAAGUAACUGUGCACAUCUUGACGGUACCUAAUCAGAAAGCCACGGCUAACUACGUGCCAGCAGCCGCGGUAAUACGUAGGUGGCAAGCGUUAUCCGGAAUUAUUGGGCGUAAAGCGCGCGUAGGCGGUUUUUUAAGUCUGAUGUGAAAGCCCACGGCUCAACCGUGGAGGGUCAUUGGAAACUGGAAAACUUGAGUGCAGAAGAGGAAAGUGGAAUUCCAUGUGUAGCGGUGAAAUGCGCAGAGAUAUGGAGGAACACUAGUGGCGAAGGCGACUUUCUGGUCUGUAACUGACGCUGAUGUGCGAAAGCGUGGGGAUCAAACAGGAUUAGAUACCCUGGUAGUCCACGCCGUAAACGAUGAGUGCUAAGUGUUAGGGGGUUUCCGCCCCUUAGUGCUGCAGCUAACGCAUUAAGCACUCCGCCUGGGGAGUACGACCGCAAGGUUGAAACUCAAAGGAAUUGACGGGGACCCGCACAAGCGGUGGAGCAUGUGGUUUAAUUCGAAGCAACGCGAAGAACCUUACCAAAUCUUGACAUCCUUUGACAACUCUAGAGAUAGAGCUUUCCCCUUCGGGGGACAAAGUGACAGGUGGUGCAUGGUUGUCGUCAGCUCGUGUCGUGAGAUGUUGGGUUAAGUCCCGCAACGAGCGCAACCCUUAAGCUUAGUUGCCAUCAUUAAGUUGGGCACUCUAAGUUGACUGCCGGUGACAAACCGGAGGAAGGUGGGGAUGACGUCAAAUCAUCAUGCCCCUUAUGAUUUGGGCUACACACGUGCUACAAUGGACAAUACAAAGGGCAGCGAAACCGCGAGGUCAAGCAAAUCCCAUAAAGUUGUUCUCAGUUCGGAUUGUAGUCUGCAACUCGACUACAUGAAGCUGGAAUCGCUAGUAAUCGUAGAUCAGCAUGCUACGGUGAAUACGUUCCCGGGUCU
Molecule: ribosomal RNA, 1372 nt
Filed under: uncultured bacterium
Lineage: Bacteria
Description: bacterial SSU rRNA
Rfam family: Bacterial small subunit ribosomal RNA
Source: RNAcentral